Molecule: long non-coding RNA, 699 nt
Organism: Parambassis ranga (Indian glassy fish)
Lineage: Eukaryota; Metazoa; Chordata; Actinopteri; Ambassidae
Source: Ensembl
CACUGAGGUCUGUAACCACAUAUAAACCAUGUUUCCCCACCAAACAGUUAGAACUGAUGAAGCUGCUUGGAUGAGCUGCGAAACGUCUUCUAGAAAACUCCACAAGUCCAGACGCCUUGCUUCAAUCUUCUCUACUGAUGCAUGCAAGAAAAAUCUUUAAAAAUGAUGUCAUGUUCAUCUGCUUCAUGUCUGCCAAGUUCCUCCUCCAGAAUCCAUCGAACCCACUCCUCUCUCUGGAAUGUCUGGAAUGUCAUUGAGCAGGUUGAGGAAGCGCUUGUCUAUUUCAACAGGCAACAUCAGAGAAAUGCUACGAAAGGCAUCACACACCACCUGCGGCUUCCUGGACUACUGGAUUACUUGUCUGUGAUCUUAUUCGACUCUUACUGCCCUAACUAUGAGGUAAAAAGGCCCAUUCUGACAGAGGGUAGCUGUGUACCAGGACAUCGUCAAGAAGGAAAUGAAUCUGAACCACACCACUCCACAUAUUUCACCUACACACAGCCAGCCUGGAUUUCCUGGUUACUAUGCACUGAUCCCCUUUGUCCUGCUCAUGCUGAUUGGAUGUAUAGUAGCAGGGGUUGCCUAUAUAAAGAGGAGAGAGAGAUUAGAUGAGCUGCGCCACAGGCUGGUUCCUCUGUAUACCUAUGACCCAGCAGAGGAAGAUGAAGAGUGGAGAGACAAUGGCAGGGAGGACGAGGA